UCUGGCGGCCGUAGCGCGGUGGUCCCACCUGACCCCAUGCCGAACUCAGAAGUGAAACGCCGUAGCGCCGAUGGUAGUGUGGGGCCUCCCCAUGCGAGAGUAGGGAACUGCCAGAC
RNAcentral lists this ribosomal RNA (116 nucleotides) under Salmonella bongori. RNAcentral also lists the same sequence under 3 other names. The record is from RNAcentral. Lineage: Bacteria; Pseudomonadati; Pseudomonadota; Gammaproteobacteria; Enterobacterales; Enterobacteriaceae.